GGGUGUUUAGCUCAGUUGGUAGAGCAGUAGCCUUUUAAGCUAUUGGUCGUGGGUUCGAGUCCCACAACACCCACCA
This 76-nucleotide transfer RNA is filed under the name Candidatus Peregrinibacteria bacterium. RNAcentral's name for it is "tRNA-Lys". It matches the Rfam family "tRNA". From Rfam's summary of the family: Transfer RNA (tRNA) molecules are approximately 80 nucleotides in length. Their secondary structure includes four short double-helical elements and three loops (D, anti-codon, and T loops). Lineage: Bacteria; Candidatus Peregrinibacteriota. RNAcentral also lists the same sequence under 1 other name. The record is from RNAcentral.